Molecule: ribosomal RNA, 449 nt
Filed under: uncultured bacterium
Lineage: Bacteria
Description: partial 16S ribosomal RNA
Rfam family: Bacterial small subunit ribosomal RNA
Source: RNAcentral
AAUGAACGCUGGCGGCAGGCCUAACACAUGCAAGUCGAACGGAUCCUUCGGGAUUAGUGGCGGACGGGUGAGUAACGCGUGGGAACAUACCCUUUGGUACGGAAUAGCCUCGGGAAACUGGGAGUAAUACCGUAUGUGGUCGAGAGACGAAAGAUUUAUCGCCAAAGGAUUGGCCCGCGUUGGAUUAGGUAGUUGGUGGGGUAAUGGCCUACCAAGCCGACGAUCCAUAGCUGGUUUGAGAGGAUGAUCAGCCACACUGGGACCGAGACACGGCCCAGACUCCUACGGGAGGCAGCAGUGGGGAAUCUUAGACAAUGGGGGAAACCCUGAUCUAGCCAUGCCGCGUGAUCGAUGAAGGCCUUGGGGUUGUAAAGAUCUUUCAGGUGGGAAGAUAAUGACUGUACCACCAGAAGAAGCCCCGGCUAACUCCGUGCCAGCCGCCGCGGUAA